This 807-nucleotide ribosomal RNA is filed under the name uncultured Pelagibacteraceae bacterium. RNAcentral describes it as "bacterial SSU rRNA". It matches the Rfam family "Bacterial small subunit ribosomal RNA", at positions 35 to 889 of the family's 1533-position model. The record is from RNAcentral. Lineage: Bacteria; Pseudomonadati; Pseudomonadota; Alphaproteobacteria; Candidatus Pelagibacterales; Candidatus Pelagibacteraceae.
GCUGGCGGCACGCCUUAUACAUGCAAGUCGAACGCAGUAGCAAUACUGAGUGGCAGACGGGUGAGUAUAAUGUGGGAAUCUGCCUUUUGGUUUGGAAUAACUCGGGGAAACCUGAGCUAAUACUGGAUAAGCCCUUACGGGGAAAGCUUUACGCGCCAAAAGAUGAGCCCGCACUUGAUUAGCUUGUUGGUGAGGUAAAAGCUCACCAAGGCAACGAUCAAUAGCUGUUCUUAGAGGAAGACCAGCCACAUUGGGACUGAGACACGGCCCAGACUCCUACGGGAGGCAGCAGUAAGGAAUCUUGCACAAUGGGGGAAACCCUGAUGCAGCGAUGCCGCGUGAGUGAAGAAGGCCUUUGGGUUGUAAAACUCUUUCGUCGGGGAAGAAAAUGACUGUACCCGAAUAAGAAGGUCCGGCUAACUUCGUGCCAGCAGCCGCGGUAAUACGAAGGGACCUAGCGUAGUUCGGAAUUACUGGGCUUAAAGAGCUCGUAGGUGGUUAAAAAAGUUGGUGGUGAAAUCCCAAGGCUCAACCUUGGAACUGCCAUCAAAACUUUUUAGCUUGAGUAUGAUAGAGGAAAGUGGAAUUUCUAGUGUAGAGGUGAAAUUCGUAGAUAUUAGAAAGAACACCAAAUGCGAAGGCAACUUUCUGGAUCAUUACUGACACUGAGGAGCGAAAGCAUGGGUAGCGAAGAGGAUUAGAUACCCUCGUAGUCCAUGCUGUAAACGAUGUGUGCUAGACGUUGGAAAUUUAUUUUUCAGUGUCGCAGCAAAAGCGUUAAGCACACCGCCUGGGGAGUACGACCGC